Long non-coding RNA from Helianthus annuus (common sunflower), 2342 nucleotides. RefSeq lists it as uncharacterized. The record is from RefSeq and is a predicted model, not a curated record. NCBI's taxonomy places the organism in Eukaryota, Viridiplantae, Streptophyta, Magnoliopsida, Asterales, Asteraceae. The transcript has 6 exons.
UAUAUAUAUAUCUAUACUACUUUAAUAAGGAUAUAGGAAGGACAGAAUGGUAAUUGAACAAUGUGUUGAAAACACCCUCAAUGCACAAUGUACAACACUUGAAGCACCAAGAAACACAACAUAAUUUACCCUUCAACUGAUUCAUCUUCAACCGUCUAUUUCUUUAACUUUUUCACACGGAUUGUGAUCUGAACGGCUGAUAUUCAGCUCACACGGAUCAAGGGUUUUACUUUCAUUCGAUUUACUCUCACAAAACUUUAUCAACCUUCUCUCUCCCACUCUCUGCGACUCAUGAACAGAUCUGUGAGGAUUUCACCAGAUCUAGGGUUUUACUUUCAUUCGAUUUCAAAUCCAUGACCCCAUCCUGUGACGGUGUCGUGUGCAGUGUUAAAAUCCGCCGAUUAGGGUUCCGGCAGUGGGAUUCUCGAGCAGAUUGUUGGCAAAUGAGACGAGCAACUGGCGGUAGAUGGUGGUUGAGGUAGGUUCCGACAACCCGGUUCCGAUUUAUCGGCUGCAUGUACGUUUUCUGACAACGAAGUUUAGAAGCUGGUGGCGUGUUUGUGCUGGUUCGACAAAGCCAGAAAGCGGAGGCGACGGCUAGGGUUCCGAUUAGUGAUCUCGGUCCGAUGUUCUUCACGAGAGAUGAUCUACUCGAGAUGGUAAAGAUGGAAUUCCAGCAUUGCUUGGGGUUACAGGGGAUAUACCAGCAGCAGUUACCGUGGAGGAUAUUGAUAUUGCUGUGAAAGCAGCACGCAGAGCUCUUAAACAUGAUGAAGGAAAAGAAUGGGCAUCAGCUUCUGGGGCUCAUCGUGCAAAGUAUCUUCGUUCCAUUGCUACAAAGGUUACUGAGAAAAAGGAUAAGUUCGCUAAGCUUCCAAUGGAUACCUUUAAAUUCCAUAUCAUCAGGGAACCAAUUGGUGGUGUUGGGCUGAUUACUCCAUGGAAUUAUCCUUUGCUAAUGGCUAUUUGGAUAGUUGCAUCUGCACUGGCUGCUGGGUGUGCUGCAGUACUUAAGCCAUCAGAGUUGGCGUCUGUCACGUGUCUGGAAUUAGGCAAAGUAUGCAGGGAGGUGGGGCUGCCCCCUGGCACGUGUCUGCAACAAAAAUUCCUUCCGGCGCGUACACAACUACCACCAGCAAAACUGAAGAUGAGAAUUCUACCGGUGACAUCUAGAGUUGAAUUUCAUGUCUUAAGGUGGUUAUGAGGGUGUGCACCGUGAGUUCCAGCAAAUCAGCAAUGCCUAGAAAGUUUAGAAUGAGGGUUGUACGAUGGUGGUGGUUGUGCGAACACAUUUAGAUGGGCGAUUUGAAGAUGGCCAAAUUUUCCUAGCGAUUGAGGUAAGUACAGUCCUGCUUAGCUUCAUUUAUCAGCUAAUCUUAUCAUUCCGACCAGCAGUAGGUUGAGUGAAUAUGAUGUUUUAGGUCGGUUGGCAGCUAAGAUGUCUCUGACUGCUGUGAAUUUGGAGCCAGUGAAGUGGUGUUGUUUGAUCAAUUAACGUUUACGUGUUUUUUGAUCAAUUAGCGUUUCCUGUUACUAUGCAACAGACCAUUAUGUGGAGUGACAAACUUGGUUUGGUACCGGUGAAUAGUCAUGGGACCUAACUGUAUAUGGGGACUUAUAUUACCGUGCUUUAAUCUUUGUCAUAUAGACUAGAACAACUGCUCAAAAGGACUUAAAUUAUGGAACAUUGGGCUCGCUGGGAGGUACAAAGAAGAGUUGAAUUGUGAAAUUCAACAUGCUUUCAUUUUAUAAUUAUAAGCACUCAUUAUUUAACCUGACAUUUCACUGAUCAGCAGCUUAAAAUAUCUAAUGUCGCUUAACACAUUAGUUUUCUAAUUGAAAUGUGUUUUGAGUAGGUUAAUAACUUACUGAAGCAAUUCUAGGGGCUGUUACCAGAACUUUGGGUAUUCCAGAUACCAUUUUUUUCUUAACUGGAAGUAAAGAUGGGAUGUAACGCUUUGGGAUGCUUAGAGGGCAAAAUUGGUAUCAAUGGCCAAAGAUGCAUGAUAGACAACAUUAAUAUUGUGGUUGGCUCAUAGAGUUGUACUAAUCUGAUGGGAACAUUGAUCUGGUGUGGCAUCUUGGGAUACUUGUUUGUAUUGUUCUGCAGGGAGUGAAUGUUUGAUGGGAUGCUGUUCCAUAUUCCAUCAAUUGGCAUUGCCUCCCAUUUGCUUUGUUAUACGAUUUAUGUCUGUUGGUUCAUAGAUUUGGCUUCCUUGGGAUAGAAAAUGUUUGUAUCUGGGGUGGCCCUUUGGUUUCAUAUAUUAAUUAGCUGGUUAGUCUUGGUGCAAUUUAAGAGUGUUACAGGUUGGUGCUAAGAUGAAAACUGUUAUUUUUGUUGA